Long non-coding RNA from Humulus lupulus (European hop), 2632 nucleotides. RefSeq lists it as uncharacterized. NCBI's taxonomy places the organism in Eukaryota, Viridiplantae, Streptophyta, Magnoliopsida, Rosales, Cannabaceae. The transcript is spliced from 2 exons. The record is from RefSeq and is a predicted model, not a curated record.
UUUUUUUUAAUGUAUUUUUAUUUCUUAUCUCUCUUUCUUCUUCCCGUAGCCACACAAGAGUUCUUCUCAAGCAUCAAGGGCUUCUGAGCUCUCUCCAAGAUUUCUUCAGGAGAAAUGGCGUAACCAUUCAUAGAGUUGGGUCUUUUCUACUAUUAAGGUAUAUGAAUCUACAUUUGAUUUUGUUUGGGAUUAGGGUUUGUGGUUUGUAAUUUUUUCUGUUCUAUCAAAAUGUCGAAGAGGGUUUUCAUUUUUCUUCUUUUAAAGCUCCUUCAUAUUGUUUUGCUCUGUUUGUUGAAAAUAUGUACUCUUGUAUAAUGCUUAUGUUGCUGUUAUGUUCUUACUGAGAUUGUUCUGUCUAUUCUUGUAUGGAUUUGUAUAACAAUAACACUACAUUGGUUUAGCAUUCGUGACUGGAAUGUUUUGAAUGGAGGAGAGUUAUCUUAGAACUAAUUCCCUCUUUCAAUUUGGGUCUUGGAACAAAACUCCUAGCUGGGACAUAGAUGAUAUGGAAGAGAUGUUAUAUUUAAACAUAAAAAUUUAGUGUUAGUGUCUGUGUGUGUGGAGGAUAUAUAUGUAUAUAUAACAUAUAUAUAUGUGUGUGUGCUAGUAAAAUGAGAUAGAACUUUUUGUAUGUAACUUUACCUUUCCUGAUUUGAAUCUUUAAUUGUUACCUUUCGCUGGGAUUUAAAGAGGAAAAAAGUGGGGGGUUUUCUUUUUUUUUUUUCUCUAUUUUUUUUUUUUGGGUGAUUCAAGCUGGAUUUAGGAUAAUCAUCUUUUUCUCUCGUACCUUUUAUUUUUUUCUUGCAUUGUUUAUCGGAAUUGGGAUUGAGUAUAUGUAACAUGAUCUUCUAUUCAAUUUUUUGAUUCAAACUGGAGAGACUGAGAUCAUGAUCGUGAAGUACUCUAUUCCCCUUUAUGUGAUUGAACGACACAGACAAUAAUGUUCCUUAUGCCUUUAGUACUUUGAAGUCUUUGCUUUUUCACAAAUUGACAGAGGUUUAUAUUUAUAGAACUAAGAAGUAGGAAAGAAAAAAAAACGAAGCAUUUUUUUUUUCUUUUCUAUUCAGAGAGAUCGAUUGCUACAGGUUAUCAUGAUCUUAUUUGUUAAACUCAAACAGUUGUUGGGGUAGACUUGUUUAGAUAUGAUAUGAUGAUGAUGAUGAAAUUGAUGACUCCAGCACUAAAUUUGUUAUUGUCUAGUUGGUUAUUUUGUUAGUUUUAUCAAGGCCAUAUAAAUGUUAUAAGCCUAAAAACGGAAAUGUAUCUGAGGGACUUGAGUAUUCUUUAUUACUACUUGUUAUUUAUCCUACAUCAUUGAUGUUAUGGUGUAUGUGGUAGGGAGCUAGUAAUCUUAUUUUGUAGAAUAUAUAGUUACAAGUGUGUAGCUGUUACUAAUAAAUGAUUAUACUUUAUGCUAUCAUCAAGCAUUUCAAUAUCAUAACAUGUGGAAGAAAAUGAGGCCAUAAUCAGAGAAAUAUUAUUGGUUUACAUAUAUGAUAUGGUGUGGUAGCUCAAUGGUGGGUUGGUUUUGAUUGAUUGAUUUCAUGAGUUAAUUAUGAAAGAACAUGAAAGAAUGAGGAUAAAGCAUGUGAAUCAGUAUCAAUCAAUGAGUAGAAUAGAAUAGAAGAGAUUGGUUAAUUUCCAUUGUCUUUAUCUUUUAAACUAAAGAGAAAAAUAAAUAACUUGUUUAAAUUGAGUUAGAAAACUCUGCCAUAUAUAAUAGCUUAAUAUGAUACCAAAUAGUGAAAAGUUCAACAUGUAUGAGCUUUACAUUAAUAUGCAGUUGUAACGAGGAUACUUUUAGACAAAUGUUUCCUAUCAUCUGAUGAUGAUGAUUUUUAUGCUGGGGUGUUAGACAAUGCAGAUGAUUUGAAGAUGUCUUGAGCAGUUUUUGCUCGAUUUUUGGUUGUGGCUCUUUGUAGGGAGCUACUCUUAGGCAUGGCUUUUUUUUCUAUAUUGUUCUGUUUCUUGUUUGAUUUGUGUUGGUGUUUAGGUAGCUUGGUAGAUCAGCUUGUCAUUUAUAUGGUUGAUUACUUUGUUUUGCUUUAAGGAUAGUAUUAUAUUUGUAUUUAUAAUUCUUAUUGAAUCUUUAUGUCUUACAUAGAUGGCAGAUGUUGUUAAUGAAGUUCUUAUUAUUGAGAAUAAUGAUGAGGCUUUUAUUUGGACUCAAAGACAUGAAGAAAUUUAUAUUGAAAUUAUAGAAGAAGAAGUUUUAAAAGGGAAAUAGGAAUAUCACAACCUUUACAAAGCAAUUGUGGAGACAUAUAAAGGAACAGCUUUGUGCAUGAACAAAGAGAAAUUACACUGAUAUGCAACUAAGGAACAAAUUAAAUCAAUUAAAGUAAAAUUAUAAGGAUUUUAAGUCUUUACUGAAAGAGACUAGUAUGGGAUACAAUGCAAUAGCUGGACAAGUUAGUGCGACUGAGAAGUUUCGAAAUAAACUUAUUCGGAUAAAAAUAUUUAAGAUUGAUUUUAUGCUUGUUUUAUUUUAAUAGGUAUUGAUAGAUUUUAUCAUCAUAAUUUCAUUUCAUGUAGGUUAACAAAUAUGCUAAAAGAUUCAGAAAUAUAGUUUGUAUGUUUUACGAGAAAUUAUGCACUAAUUUUGGUGAUACUAAUGCAUCUGGUUCCAAUG